GCGGGCCUUGGAAAAGAACCGCGUCCUAAUGCGGCCCGCUGGCGUGCGCCAGCGGACGGUGACAAGCCCGUGCGAACGCAGAGUCAGGAU
RNAcentral lists this non-coding RNA (90 nucleotides) under unclassified sequences. The record is from RNAcentral.